CAAUCCGGAUAAUCGCUGCUUACUUGAUAAGUAGAGGAAAGUCCAUGCUCGCACACUCUGAGAUGAGUGUAGUGAUUGUGCUAGAGGAAAAAAUAACUCUAGGUAGGCUGAGCACCUAACGGCAGGUAGUUUACCUAAGUUGUAAAAUAUGGUAAACCCUUGAAAGUGCCACAGUGACGAUUUGUUAAGAAAUUAACAAGUGGAACGGGUAAACCCCACAAGCGAGAAACCCAAAUUUGGUCGGGGAACUUUUUUUGAAGAAAUGAAUUCAAAAAAGGAUGCGUAAGCAUAGAUAAAUGAUUAUCGAUAACAGAACAUGGCUUAUAGGA
RNAcentral lists this RNase P RNA (329 nucleotides) under bacterium. RNAcentral describes it as "RNase P RNA component class B". It matches the Rfam family "Bacterial RNase P class B". Rfam says of the family: Ribonuclease P (RNase P) is a ubiquitous endoribonuclease, found in archaea, bacteria and eukarya as well as chloroplasts and mitochondria. The record is from RNAcentral.